This is a long non-coding RNA of Dioscorea cayenensis subsp. rotundata (Guinea yam), 217 nucleotides long. RefSeq lists it as uncharacterized. The transcript has 3 exons. The record is from RefSeq and is a predicted model, not a curated record. Lineage: Eukaryota; Viridiplantae; Streptophyta; Magnoliopsida; Dioscoreales; Dioscoreaceae.
CUUUUCUUCCCUUCUAAAAGUUUCAGCCUCUCUCUUCCAUUUUCCAUUCAUUCUUGUUGGAAACCCUAACCAUUUGCUUCUCCUCUUCUUACUUUUGAUGGUUAAAGGUAGAUUAAUAGGAGUAGAGAGGAUGAGAAGAGAAGAUGGCAAGGUACUCGACUUUUAGGUUGUGCUUAAGACCUUGUUGAUCAGCCAGUGCUAGGAUGGAUCCAUUAGG